CCUACGGGAGGCAGCAGUGAGGAAUAUUGGUCAAUGGGCGUAAGCCUGAACCAGCCAAGUCGCGUGAGGGAUGAAGGUUCUAUGGAUCGUAAACCUCUUUUAUAAGGGAAUAAAGUGUGGGACGUGUCCUGUUUUGUAUGUACCUUAUGAAUAAGGAUCGGCUAACUCCGUGCCAGCAGCCGCGGUAAUACGGAGGAUCCGAGCGUUAUCCGGAUUUAUUGGGUUUAAAGGGUGCGUAGGCGGCCUUUUAAGUCAGCGGUGAAAGUCUGUGGCUCCACCAUAGAAGUGCCGUUGAAACGGGGAGGCUUGAGUAUGUUUGAGGCAGGCGGAAUGCGUGGUGUAGCGGUGAAAUGCUUAGAUAUCACGCAGAACCCCGAUUGCGAAGGCAGCCUGCCAGGCCAUGACUGACGCUGAUGCACGAAAGCGUGGGGAUCAAACAGGAUUAGAUACCCCAGUAGUC
Molecule: ribosomal RNA, 460 nt
Filed under: uncultured bacterium
Lineage: Bacteria
Description: partial 16S ribosomal RNA
Rfam family: Bacterial small subunit ribosomal RNA
Source: RNAcentral